AUGCUGUGGUGGGGAUAGGCCAAGAUGUAUUCCUACAGCCUUUCCCAAGCUUCCAGGAUGGAUUCCAUUCCUUUUUGCUGGAAACUUGAUAUCUUCCCACGCAG
Small nucleolar RNA from Panicum virgatum (switchgrass), 104 nucleotides. The record is from RefSeq and is a predicted model, not a curated record. NCBI's taxonomy places the organism in Eukaryota, Viridiplantae, Streptophyta, Magnoliopsida, Poales, Poaceae.